RNAcentral lists this ribosomal RNA (492 nucleotides) under uncultured bacterium. Its description in RNAcentral is "partial 16S ribosomal RNA". It matches the Rfam family "Bacterial small subunit ribosomal RNA", at positions 29 to 507 of the family's 1533-position model. The record is from RNAcentral.
AGUGAACGCUGGCGGUAGGCCUAACACAUGCAAGUCGAACGGCAGCACAGUAAGAGCUUGCUCUUACGUGUGUCGAGUGGCGGACGGGGGAGUAAUACAUCGGAAUCUACUUUUUCGUGGGGGAUAACGUAGGAAAACUUACGCUAAUACCGCAUACGACCUACGAGUGAAAGCACGGGAUCUUCGGACCUUGCGCGAUGGAAUAAGCCGAUGUGGGAUUAGAUAGUUGGCGGGUUAAAGGCCCACCAAGGGGACGAUCCUUAGGUGGUCUGAGAGGGUGAUCAGCUAGCGUGGCUGUGAGAAACGGUCGCGACUCCUAAGGGGGGGCGCAGUGGGGAAUUUUGGACGAUGGGCGAAAGCGUGAUCAAGCAAUACGGAGUGGGUGAAGAAGGCAUUGGGGUUGUAGAGCCCUUUUGUUGGGAAAGAAAAGCAGCAGGUUAAUCCCACGCUGUUCUGACGGUACCCAAAGAAUAAGCACCGGCUAACUUCGUG